GGCUGUGCUGGGUCUUCGUGGCUGCGCACAGGCUGUGUCUAGUUUUGGCGGGUCGGAGCUGCUGCUUGUUGCAGUAUGGGGCUUCUCAUUGUGGAGCACAGGCUCUCAGGUGUUCAAGCUUAAGUAGUUGUGGUUCACAGGCUCUGGAGCAUGGGGUCAGUAGUUGUGGCCCACGGGCUUAGUUUCUCCAUGGCAUGUGGGAUCCUCCUGGUCCAAGGAUCAAACCUGUGUCCCCUGCAUUGGCAGGCAGAUUCUUAUCCAUUGUACCACCAGGGAAGACCCUGAGUGUUUCUUUAAGAAGGUCAUUAAAAUGCUCCGUGAGACCAGCUGCCUGCAGGCCUAACGUGAAUGGAAGAUCCAAAGAGUGUUAGAUUGCAGAGGCCACUGUGGAAUCUCCUGAGAGGUCUCCUGGUCAGAGUCUGUGAUGUCUGUCCAUCCAAAGCGAACAGGCAUAAAGAAGAAAGAGAGAACCUAUUUAGAAGAGGAGUUCUGGUUGGGGGUUGCCAAAAGGAGGCUCUGAAAGAUGCCUGGGAUGUAUAGAUUGAAGCAAGCAUGCAGUAUUGUACUACUUCUGGGAAAUAUUUAUAUGCAAGCAAAAAAGUAUGGAAAAACAAAGAGCAAGAUAUUAACUACUUUUCUCUGGAUGGUAGUUCAAUGGUUAACAAUUCAACUUUGCCUUCUGAUUUUUCUACUUUUUCAACAGUUUUUAAAAGGAGAGAAAAAGAAGACUAAAGGAUGAUAAGUACCGAAAGAAAGACCAUCAGACAAAUUUUCAAGUCACUUAAAAUUGAUGACAAUUUUUGAUUCUAUCAGUUACUGACUUUACCUUCCUUUUGUUUCCCCCCUAAACCUAGCAGAACUGAAUUUAAUUUUUUCCUGGCAAAAGAAUGCAAUUUUAACUGAACUUUCUUUUGCACCUUGAUGAGUAAUGUCAAAAUCCAUUUUCUGUUUGAAUUGAAUUGUUCUAAAAUAUUUACUGGAAAUAGGUUUUAAACAUAUCCACCCCUUUUUUCUAUACUAACAAGAUAUUCGCAUGACUCUUCUGUUG
Molecule: long non-coding RNA, 1048 nt
Organism: Bos taurus (domestic cattle)
Lineage: Eukaryota; Metazoa; Chordata; Mammalia; Artiodactyla; Bovidae
Source: Ensembl